Cydia pomonella (codling moth) is the source of this 2488-nucleotide long non-coding RNA. RefSeq lists it as uncharacterized. The record is from RefSeq and is a predicted model, not a curated record. The transcript is spliced from 7 exons. Lineage: Eukaryota; Metazoa; Arthropoda; Insecta; Lepidoptera; Tortricidae.
CCCCUGAGAGAAAAAAUAUUGUCAAAAAUAUUUAUUUAAGCUAAAAAAUAGAAUGCUAAAAAAGUGUCAUAGAACAGAAAAGAGCCACUUUGAAUCCCCCUAGCAGGGAAGAAAAAGUCCUUUUCCGAUUAGGUGAUGUGAACAAUAAUAAUAUUAUUCUAUACAGUGUGGCUGUCGGCGUCUGCGCAGCCGUUUAACGAUAGAUAUAAAUACGUUAAUAGACACUGCAUAUAAGAAUAUUAUUUCGUCUCGGAGGACUCUAAAUUUACUGUGAGUACAAAGUUUUUUUGACAAUCCACCUCUAUUUCAAAUUCUCUUUGCUCCAAGUCUGUAGAUAAAAACCAACCUUCUCAGUCAACGUCGCAAGGUCUUUCUGUGCUUUAGGAUAUACCUCUUUUCUAAUCUCUGUUUUCUUUUCGUCUGUCAAAUUAACUUUUGACAAAUCAAAUUAGUGGUUUACAAUUUUAUACCAAAUAUGCGAUAGUUUAUCAUAAAUUAUUUGUUAUUUGACUCUUGUGUUUCGCAAACGUGAAAAUCUUAUGGUGAUAUGUGUACUUGUUAAUAUUUUUAAUGUAUAAUAUUUAAAAGAGUGACUACACACGUAAGAAUUUGAAAUAAAGUCUCAAAAUUUGAAAUAACAAUUAUAUGAAAUGAAGAAGCGUUACGUAUAAUAUGGAAAAAGGUGGUACCAAACAGAAUAUACAGAAUACGAUACCUAACAUACCGCCGGGUCCAGCUGGUACCGCACAGAAUACGAUACCUUACAACCCCAGCGUACCGCCGGGUCAACCUGGUGCCGAAGAGGAUCCUGAACAGAAGUAUAUUUGUCCUCCAGGGACUUGCAUGAACAGGAACUACAAUAGAAAUAAAUAUAUAUUAGCGGGUGUCUUUCUCGGAAUACUCGUAUUUACAUUGAUUAUUUACGCUAUCGUGUGCUCGACCAAAAGUAAGAAGUGAGAAGUGGCAAGAGCAAAAAGCCGUUAUACAUCAUCGCGGGCAUAGCGCUCGGCUUGCUCGUUAUUGGUUUCAUUAUCUACGCUGCUUUGUGUAAAUAGGUGCUCGCAUGAACAAAAAAUACAUCCGAAAAAUAUACAUCAUCGCUGGCUUAUCGUUCGGCGUGCUCGUUAUUGGUUUCAUUAUCUACGCUGCCUUGUGUAAUUAAUUAGGAACUCGCAUGAACAAAAAAUACAUAUACAUCAUCGCUGGCGUAUCGCUGGGCGUGCUCGUGAUCGGUUUCAUUAUCUACGCUGCCUUGUGUAUAUAGGAGUAAAAUGGAGCGUAAAGCGUUUUCCGAGUCCCGUCUGAACCAACGCGGCCGUGAGACCGUUUACGGCGUUAAAAACGUCAACAAAUUUAAAAUCUUCAUUUUCACUUUUGCGACUGUGAGCGUGUUAAUGUUUAUUGCUGUGAUCGCCUUCGUCAUGGUGAGGACAUCGAAGUUACCGAGCGAAUACAAGGGGAGGAAGCCGACCACCACUACAACCACUGAAAGUGCCGCUGUCGGUCCGAUGUUCUUUUAAAGUAUUUGUGAUCGAUCAUACCAAAAAUGAAAGCGUUUUUCCACUUCUAAAUAUUUUCCAUUCUACAUGAUUUUUAGUAUGUUAUUGACACAAUGAAGGUUUUUUUUUAUUAUUUAAAAAUUAUUACAUUUUUAAUUACUCUAAAAUAAAACAUUAAAAUGGACUAUAAACUAAAUAGAAAUAAAACUAAACAAACAGAAAGACACAAAUACAAAAACUAAUCAAACAACUCGUCCCGAGCCCUCCCAGACGCAAAGGUGCCUAUCACGCUCGCCGUGUUACCACGCUGAAUCGCGAUAGUCAGCCUCUGCAUCAGGAAUGACCCGGAACGAGGGUCAUGACCCCUCUCCCUCAACCACCGCCCCAAUUUGCCCAAGAAAAUUUUGGCCUCUACUAGGUUUAUAGGUUAUAGAUGUCCCUUUUUUUACAAAAUGCAUGCUUAUAUACACGGUGUCACACGAGGAAACCGAAGGAUUUUAAACACGCACUUCUGAGGCCAAAUAAAGAAAAAAAUAUUAUAUGAGUUUAAGUAAUAACGACAAAAAAAAAAUUUUUUUGGUUUUUUUUUUCAAAUUUUGAAUGUAUUUGUACAUAAAAAGUUAAUGGUAGAACUUUCCCUGAAAAUUAAUUUUUACGAAUUUGUUUAAACCUAGUUUAUGCAAAGGGUAUUUGUCACUUUUUGACAUUUAUCAUUUUUAUCAAUAAUAAUAUUUAGACUACUCCCCAUAAUGCCAUCAAUACCAUCGUAUUUCACUGAGUAAAAAGACGUUAUUUUUUAAUUGCUAUUAACUCUGAAACUAAGUGAAAUUCAGAAAAGUUUAUAUGACAUUUUAGUCUCUAAAUGUGAUCAGGAACACAAUGUUAAAAUCUUUCGGUUUCCUCAUGUUACACCGUGUAUACAAGUAUGGGUGUAUACUCUUGUCAGAGUAGUUUAUGGUAAUUAAUGGCAAGUCUUAAUAUACGAGGUC